AACGCACAUUGCGCCCCCGGGUCCCGCCCGGGGGCACGCCCGUCCGAGCGCCGUUGGAAGACCCGAGCCGCGGGCUCGCUGUUGGGCGCCGCCCCCCCGCGGGGCGCGCCCGGAAGGCGGAGGCGCCCCGAGGGCCCCCCGAGCGCAACGAGCCACGGCCCGCGCGAGGGAGCCCGCGAGGCCGCCGGCAGGCCCCGCGCCGCCACCAGCACGGAUGGCCUCGGAUCGGGCGGGGUUACCCGCUGAACUUAA
RNAcentral lists this unclassified non-coding RNA (252 nucleotides) under uncultured fungus. RNAcentral describes it as "partial internal transcribed spacer 2". Lineage: Eukaryota; Fungi. The record is from RNAcentral.